AUGCACAUCGAGAUACACAUGCACACACACAGACACUGGUCUCCACAUACACACACAUGGGGGGAUAAUGCAGACACAGCCUACACACACACACACACACACACACACACACAUAGAGACACCCUGGGACACACAGAGGCACAGACCCCCAACAUGGAGAUGCACGUGCACAUGCGUGCCCACAUGCAAUACAUGGAGAUACACAUGCACACACACAGAGACCCAGGCCCCACUCAUCCACAUGCAUAUGGAGACAUUGGGACACACACAGAGGCACAGACCCCCCAACAAACAGAUGCACAUGGAGACACACAUACACACACAUACAGUCAUGAGCUCACAUACAAGAACAUGGAGACACACAUGCAAACACGGGCCCCAUGCACACACAUGCACAUGGAGAUACACAGGCAGACAUGGGCCAUACACACACACACACGUAGACACACCCAGAUAAGGGCUUCCACCCACACACAGGCACAUGGAGACACCUAUACACACCCACAGGGGCAUUGGCCACACACACACACACACACACACACAUGCACAGCUGAGAAGCAGCCCGUUUACUGUCUGUCCCAGGUCACUGUUGUCCAGGAGCAACAUUGUGGGGAGGGAGGGGACUCUGCAGGCAGGACACCUGUGAAGGCCAGAGCAGAGCAGCCUGGACCUGAGUGCCCCAUGCCUGCUGCCUGCAGCUGCCAGGCCUGCCCCUGGACAGGAGGGGGCAGAGGCAAGGGUGGUGCCUGGAACCAAGGCAGGGCCACAGCCCCAGAGAGGAGUGGAGUGGGACAGCACAGACCUAGGAGCUCAGAGCUCAGCUGCCUACUGGGAACGGGGAGGAGAGGAGAGUCAUUCUCUUCCCCAUGGGUGGCCCAGGCUGGAGACGGGGCCCACCAGCAGCAUGGCACAUCCUGGGAUGUCAGCAUAGAGCCCGGAGACCAGCUGGGCACUGAAGCCCCUGCCCCACAGCCUGGGCAGAAUGAGCAGGGGGACACCAGGGUGAGCCAGGGCUGUCAGUGGAGUCUUAGCCCAGCAUGA
Molecule: long non-coding RNA, 1041 nt
Filed under: Canis lupus dingo (dingo)
Lineage: Eukaryota; Metazoa; Chordata; Mammalia; Carnivora; Canidae
Description: lncRNA (ENSCAFG00020007425.1)
Source: RNAcentral